UCACGCUCCUCUGCUGUAUAUGCUCCUUGAUCACUCUCAAUAAUUACCAAAAGUUUCUUCUUAGGUUGAACCACAAACUUUCUUGGAGUGUACCUCAGAGGUAUUGCAGUUUCAUUAAAUGUCUCUCCCAACCUUUCAAUGGUAAAAAUCCUCAAUGCAUCNCAGCCACCACACCUUCUGCACACUGAUCAGAUGAGAAUGAAGCAGCAAAUUCAAGAGUCU
RNAcentral lists this unclassified non-coding RNA (222 nucleotides) under Hevea brasiliensis (rubber tree). Lineage: Eukaryota; Viridiplantae; Streptophyta; Magnoliopsida; Malpighiales; Euphorbiaceae. The record is from RNAcentral.